AAGAGACAGCAGUAGCCGCGGGAAUACAGAGGUUGCGAGCGUUAAUCGGAUUUACUGGGCGUAAAGCGUGCGUAGGCGGCUUCUUAAGUCGGAUGUGAAAUCCCUGAGCUUAACUUAGGAAUUGCAUUCGAUACUGGGAAGCUAGAGUAUGGGAGAGGAUGGUAGAAUUCCAGGUGUAGCGGUGAAAUGCGUAGAGAUCUGGAGGAAUACCGAUGGCGAAGGCAGCCAUCUGGCCUAAUACUGACGCUGAGGUACGAAAGCAUGGGGAGCAAACAGGAUUAGAUACCCCAGUAGUCCCUGUCUCUUAUAC
Molecule: ribosomal RNA, 310 nt
Filed under: uncultured bacterium
Lineage: Bacteria
Description: partial 16S ribosomal RNA
Rfam family: Bacterial small subunit ribosomal RNA
Source: RNAcentral